This 84-nucleotide non-coding RNA is filed under the name Chloroflexota bacterium. Its description in RNAcentral is "Chloroflexi bacterium c-di-GMP-II sequence". It matches the Rfam family "Cyclic di-GMP-II riboswitch aptamer". Lineage: Bacteria; Bacillati; Chloroflexota. The record is from RNAcentral.
AUUAUGGUGGGGGGCGUUGAACUACCACCCACAAUUGGUCACUGGGGUGGUGGUGAGCCAAUAGUGAAACCGACCCAUUGAGGU